Molecule: ribosomal RNA, 460 nt
Filed under: uncultured bacterium
Lineage: Bacteria
Description: partial 16S ribosomal RNA
Rfam family: Bacterial small subunit ribosomal RNA
Source: RNAcentral
CCUACGGGAGGCAGCAGUGAGGAAUCUUGGUCAAUGGGCGCAAGCCUGAACCAGCCAAGCAGCGUGAAGGAAGACUGCCCUACGGGUUGUAAACUUCUUUCAUAUGGGAAUAAAGUGCAGUAUGUAUACUGCUCUGCAUGUACCCUACGAAUAAGGAUCGGCUAACUCCGUGCCUGCAGCCGCGGUAAUACGGAGGCUCCGAGCGUUAUCCGGAUUUAUUGGGUUUAAAGGGAGCGUAGGCGGGUUGUUAAGUCAGUUGUGAAAGUUUGCGGCUCAACCGUAAAAUUGCAGAUGAUACUGGGAUCCUUGAGUACAGUAGAGGUAGGCGGAAUUCGUGGUGUAGCAGUGAAAUGCUUAGAUAUCGCGAAGAACACCGAUUGCGAAGGCAGCCUGCUGGACUGUAACUGACGCUGAUGCUCGAAGGUGUGGGGAGCGAACAGGAUUAGAUACCCCUGUAGUC